Molecule: unclassified non-coding RNA, 1358 nt
Filed under: uncultured Neocallimastigales
Lineage: Eukaryota; Fungi; Neocallimastigomycota; Neocallimastigomycetes; Neocallimastigales
Description: partial contains small subunit ribosomal RNA, internal transcribed spacer 1, 5.8S ribosomal RNA, internal transcribed spacer 2, and large subunit ribosomal RNA
Rfam family: Eukaryotic large subunit ribosomal RNA (bases 612-1358)
Source: RNAcentral
UUUCCGUAGUGAACCUGCGGAAGGAUCAUUAAUAAAUUUUUUAGGUUGAAUUUAGAACCUAAAAAUAUAAUAAUCCUACCCUUUGGAAUUUGUUUGAAAUAAUUUUUAAAAAAAUUAUUUAUAGUUUGUCUAUCCUGAGUUGUAAGAAGUAUUCUUGAAACUAGGAAUAGGCUUUAUCUAUAAAUAAUGAUUUUAAAGACCUUUUUUAAAUUAAACUUUUGUAUUCAUUGUCUAAAUUUAUUUUUAAUAAUUUAAAAACAACUUUUGACAAUGGAUCUCUUGGUUCUCGCACGAUGAAGAACGCAGCAAAAUGCGAUAAGUAAGUGAAUUGCAGAUACGUGAAUCAUCAAAUCUUCGAACGCAUAUUGCACUUUUUUAGUUUACUAAAAAAGUAUGUCUGUUGAGUAUCAGUAAAAUAUCUCAUAAAAAAUUAUUUUUAUGGUUUGAGUGUUUACAACGAUACAAGUUGUUUCACUUUAAAUUGACUUUAAAUUGCCUAUUAAUUUAGUCAUUUUUAAAUUGCAUAAAAGUUUCCCGUAAAAAGGAUAACCUAUCAAUUUUAAAUUAACUGAUAUUAAAGGCCUUGAUAAAAGGAAUUUAAUUAAAUAACUUGAUCUCAAUCAGAUAAGAGUACCCGCUGAACUUAAGCAUAUCAAUAAGCGGAGGAAAAGAACUAACAAGGAUUCCCUAGUAACGGCGAGUGAAGCGGGAAGAGCUCAAAUUUGAAAUCUUCAAGGUUGACCUUGACGAAUUGUAGUUUAAAGAGUGUUUUCGGUUAGAGGAGUGUAAAAGUUCUUUGGAUAGGACAUCAUAGAGGUGAGAAUCCGUAUUUGACCAUUCUUUCUAGCUUUGUGAUACACUUCAAGAGUCGGAUUGUUUGGGAAUGCAGUCCAAAAUGGGUGGUAAAUUUCAUCUAAAGCUAAUAUUGGCGAGAGACCGAUAGCGAACAAGUACCGUGAGGGAAAGAUGAAAAGAACUUGAAAAGAGAGUUAAACAGUACGUGAAAUUGUCAAAGGGAACGUUUGACACCAGUGUUGUUUUUCCGAAAAUCAAUUAAAAUGAUUCAUGCCAGUUGUAUUGACCUAUCAGCUUGCAAUUUGGUUUUGGGUCUUUUUGAUGCACUUUUCGGUAACAGUCAACAUCAAUUUCCUUUGCUGUUAGAGGGCAGAAGGAAGGUGGCUUCAAUUUCGGUUGAAGUGUUAUAGCCUUUGUCUCUGCAGUCGGGGAGAUUGAGGUCUGCAGCGUAGAUCCUUCGGGUUAGAUACAUCGUGCUAAGUUAUAGCCUUUAUAACAACUUGUUGACUAUGAUCGGUCUUGUAAUUUACUCGCGAGUGCUAUUUUACCUACGCUUGGAUGUU